Molecule: ribosomal RNA, 497 nt
Filed under: uncultured bacterium
Lineage: Bacteria
Description: partial 16S ribosomal RNA
Rfam family: Bacterial small subunit ribosomal RNA
Source: RNAcentral
GAUGAACGCUGGCGGCGUGCCUAAUACAUGCAAGUCGAGCGAACAGACGAGGAGCUUGCUCCUCUGACGUUAGCGGCGGACGGGUGAGUAACACGUGGAUAACCUACCUAUAAGACUGGGAUAACUUCGGGAAACCGGAGCUAAUACCGGAUAAUAUAUUGAACCGCAUGGUUCAAUAGUGAAAGACGGUUUUGCUGUCACUUAUAGAUGGAUCCGCGCCGCUUUAGCUAGUUGGUAAGGUAACGGCUUACCAAGGCAACGAUGCGUAGCCGACCUGAGAGGGUGAUCGGCCACACUGGAACUGAGACACGGUCCAGACUCCUACGGGAGGCAGCAGUAGGGAAUCUUCCGCAAUGGGCGAAAGCUUGACGGAGCAACGCCGCGUGAGUGAUGAAGGUCUUCGGAUCGUAAAACUCUGUUAUUAGGGAAGAACAAAUGUGUAAGUAACUAUGCACGUCUUGACGGUACCUAAUCAGAAAGCCACGGCUAACUACGUG